GUCUUACCUGCCCACUGAAACUUUUAAGGGCCGCGGUAUUUUGACCGUGCAAAGGUAGCAUAAUCAUUAGCCUCUUAAUUAGAGGCUGGGAUGAAAGGUGGGACGAGGUACAAACUGUCUCCAUGAAAAAAGAAGAAAUUAACUUUUUAGUUAAAAGGCUAAAAUAAUAUUAAAGGACGAGAAGACCCUAUAGAACUUUAUAAAUUAGGCUUAAGCCUUUAGGAAAAUAUGUUACUUAAAGCUAAAUUUUAUUAUGUUGGGGUGACGGGGUAAUAAAUUAACUUACCUUAUGUAAAACAUAAUAAGUGAAUAAAGGAUCCAUAAAUAAUGAAUAAAAAAUUAAGUUACCUUAGGGAUAACAGCGUAAUCCUUUUUGAGAGUUCAUAUCGAUAAGAGGGGUUGCGACCUCGAUGUUGGAUUAAAGGUAAUUUUAGGUGCAGCCGCUUAGAGUUGGGGUCUGUUCGAC
This 466-nucleotide ribosomal RNA is filed under the name Ephemerella sp. THO-2009. RNAcentral describes it as "partial 16S ribosomal RNA". It matches the Rfam family "Bacterial large subunit ribosomal RNA", at positions 1852 to 2585 of the family's 2925-position model. The record is from RNAcentral. Lineage: Eukaryota; Metazoa; Arthropoda; Insecta; Ephemeroptera; Ephemerellidae.